This 70-nucleotide transfer RNA is filed under the name Megalops atlanticus (tarpon). RNAcentral's name for it is "tRNA-OTHER". The record is from RNAcentral. Lineage: Eukaryota; Metazoa; Chordata; Actinopteri; Elopiformes; Megalopidae.
AGCAGUGUGGUGUAGUGGUAAGGAACUGGGCUUGUAACCAAAAGGUUGCUGGUUCAAUUCCCCACUGGGG